UCCGAAGGGGGCUAGCGUUGUUCGGAAUUACUGGGCGUAAAGGGCGCGUAGGCGGACUGAUAAGUCAGGGGUGAAAUCCCGGGGCUCCACCUCGGAAUUGCCUUUGAGACUGUCGGUCUUGAGGACGGGAGAGGGUCGUGGAAUUCCCAGUGUAGAGGUGAAAUUCGUAGAUAUUGGGAAGAACACCGGUGGCGAAGGCGGCGACCUGGACCGUAUCUGACGCUGAGGCGCGAAAGCGUGGGGAGAAAAUAGG
RNAcentral lists this ribosomal RNA (253 nucleotides) under uncultured bacterium. RNAcentral describes it as "partial 16S ribosomal RNA". It matches the Rfam family "Bacterial small subunit ribosomal RNA", at positions 524 to 776 of the family's 1533-position model. The record is from RNAcentral.